GGGUAAACCUAUAGUUUAGUUCCUCAGCCC
This 30-nucleotide non-coding RNA is filed under the name Mus musculus (house mouse). The record is from RNAcentral. Lineage: Eukaryota; Metazoa; Chordata; Mammalia; Rodentia; Muridae.